GGGAAGGAAAGAGAGAAGGAAGAAAAGAGAGACAGCAGAAGAGAAAGAAAAAGGGGGAAGGAAGGAAAGAGAUAGAGAAGGAAGAGGAGAAGGAAAGAUGGGAAGGAAGGAAGGAGGGAAAGAAGGAGAGAAAGAGGGAAGGUUGGCCACAGCAACACGUGGCGGGUAAAGGUUGUGAUUUCUAUUAUUAUUAUUAUGCUAUUAUUCCUAUGAGACCCUGGGGGAAUGGGAGAGGUGUCAGGUCCCAGAGGCAAUGCAUUGCAUUAUUGUUAUUGUUAUGAUGGUGGUGAAAUAAAAGGAAAUAAAAAGUGAAAGAAGGAAGCAAACAGGGAGGGAAGAAAGGCAAAGGAAGAAAGGGA
Anolis sagrei ordinatus is the source of this 359-nucleotide non-coding RNA. Lineage: Eukaryota; Metazoa; Chordata; Lepidosauria; Squamata; Anolidae. The record is from RefSeq and is a predicted model, not a curated record.